RNAcentral lists this long non-coding RNA (1281 nucleotides) under Salmo salar (Atlantic salmon). Its description in RNAcentral is "lncRNA (ENSSSAG00000098445.1)". The record is from RNAcentral. Lineage: Eukaryota; Metazoa; Chordata; Actinopteri; Salmoniformes; Salmonidae.
CUCCUCUCUCUCUCUGUCUCUCUCUCCUGUGAUCUAGUGCCUCAGACAACAUUGUGGAAUGCACAAGGAGAAUAUAAUCCACAUCCCAUUCAGGUAGUGAUCAGAUUGUCAUGCCAGACUAGUGGGAGUCAGUAUGCGACCCAAAUUGCACCCUAUUCCCUACAUAGUGCACUACGUUUGACCAGACCCCAAUGGGCCCAGUAACACAAACACUGUCAGCUCAUCUGGCCCUGUAACGCAAUCACUGUCAGCUCAUCUGGUCCCUGUAACGCAGUCACUGUCAGCUCAUCUGGGCCCUGUAACGCAAUCACUGUCAGCUCAUCUGGGCCCUGUAACGCAAUCACUGUCAGCUCAUCUGGGCCCUGUAACGCAAACACUGUCAGCUCAUCUGGGCCCUGUAACGCAAUCACUGUCAGCUCAUCUGGGCCCUGUAACGCAAACACUGUCAGCUCAUCUGGGCCCUGUAACGCAAUCACUGUCAGCUCAUCUGGGCCCUGUAACGCAGUCACUGUCAGCUCAUCUGGGCCCUGUAACGCAAACACUGUCAGCUCAUCUGGGCCCUGUAACGCAGUCACUGUCAGCUCAUCUGGGCCCUGUACCGCAGUCACUGUCAGCUCAUCUGGGCCCUGUAACGCAAACACUGUCAGCUCAUCUGGGCCCUGUAACGCAAUCACUGUCAGCUCAUCUGGGCCCUGUAACGCAAUCACUGUCAGCUCAUCUGGGCCCAGGUAGAGAUGAGUAAAUACAACUUGUGGAGUGAGGGACUGAAAUAAUGUGUUGCUCUGUAGUCAAUGUAAUUAGAUGUUUAUCUGGAGUUAAUUUAAUUAGAUGUUUAUCUCAAGUGAAUUUAUACCUGAAUCAUCUACAGGGAGAGAGGGAGGAGGGGACAGGUGGAGAGAGAGAUGGAUGGAUGAGCAGGGAGAGAGGGAUAGAGAUAGGGAUGGUUGGAGGUGGAGAGAGGGAAGUAGAGAGACUGAUGGAGGGAGGGGUGUAUGAGCAGGGAGAGCCGGGUAGAGAUAGGGAUGGAUGGAGGUGGAGAGAGGGAAGUAGAUAGACUGAUGGAGGGAGGGGUGUAUAGAUGUAUGAGCAGGGAGACAGCGUAGAGAUAGGGAUGAUAGAGGUGGAGAGAGGGGGGUAGAGAGACUGAUGGAGGGAGGGGUGUAUGAGCAGGGAGAGCCGGGUAGAGAUAGGGAUGGAUAGAGGUGGAGAGAGGGGGGUAGAGAGACUGACGGAGGGAGGGGUGUAUAGAUGUAUGAGCAGGGAGAGCCGGGUAGAGAUAGG